GAUGAACGCUGGCGGCGUGCUUAACACAUGCAAGUCGAACGGACUUGUUAUGAAGCCUAGCGAAUAACAAGUUAGUGGCGGACGGGUGAGUAACGCGUGGGUAACCUGCCUUAUACAGGGGGAUAACACUUAGAAAUAGGUGCUAAUACCGCAUAAGCGCACAGUUUCGCAUGAAACAGUGUGAAAAACUCCGGUGGUAUAAGAUGGACCCGCGUCUGAUUAGCUGGUUGGUGAGGUAACGGCCCACCAAGGCGACGAUCAGUAGCCGGCCUGAGAGGGUGAACGGCCACAUUGGGACUGAGACACGGCCCAA
Molecule: ribosomal RNA, 313 nt
Filed under: uncultured bacterium
Lineage: Bacteria
Description: bacterial SSU rRNA
Rfam family: Bacterial small subunit ribosomal RNA
Source: RNAcentral